UACGAAGGGGGCUAGCGUUGUUCGGAAUCACUGGGCGUAAAGCGCACGCAGGCGGAUCGAUAAGUCGGGGGUGAAAGCCCGGGGCUCAACCUCGGAAUUGCCUUCGAUACUGGCGGUCUCGAGUCCGGGAGAGGUGAGUGGAAUUCCUAGUGUAGAGGUGAAAUUCGUAGAUAUUAGGAAGAACUCCAGUGGCGAAGGCGGCUCACUGGCCCGGUACUGACGCUCAGGUGAGAAAGCGUGGGGAGCAAACAGG
Molecule: ribosomal RNA, 253 nt
Filed under: uncultured bacterium
Lineage: Bacteria
Description: partial 16S ribosomal RNA
Rfam family: Bacterial small subunit ribosomal RNA
Source: RNAcentral